AGCAAACGCUGGCGGCGUGCCUAAGACAUGCAAGUCGAACGAGGAAAGCUUUCGGGUGAGUACUAGUGGCGAACGGGAGAGGAACACGUGGGUAAUCUACCUCUAGGAGAAGAAUAACCAGUCGAAAGAUUGGCUAAUACUUCGUAAGACCACAGUAACUAAUGUUACAGGGGUUAAAGGAGCAAUCCGCCAAGAGAUGA
This 200-nucleotide ribosomal RNA is filed under the name uncultured bacterium. Its description in RNAcentral is "partial 16S ribosomal RNA". It matches the Rfam family "Bacterial small subunit ribosomal RNA", at positions 29 to 228 of the family's 1533-position model. The record is from RNAcentral.